UCCGGUUUGUCACCGGCAGUCUGGCGUGAGUCCCCAACUUAAUGCUGGCAACACGCCACGGGGGUUGCGCUCGUUGCGGGACUUAACCCAACAUCUCACGACACGAGCUGACGACAACCAUGCACCACCUAUCGCAGACCCCGAAGGACACCGUAUCUCUACGGCUUUUCCUGCGUAGUUCAACCCAGGUAAGGUUCUUCGCGUUGCAUCGAAUUAAGCCACAUGCUCCGCCGCUUGUGCGGGCCCCCGUCAAUUCCUUUGAGUUUUAAUCUUGCGACCGUACUCCCCAGGCGGGAAGCUUAAUGCGUUAGCUGCGGCACGGAACCCGUGGAAUGGAUCCCACACCUAGCGCCCAACGUUUACGGCGUGGACUAC
RNAcentral lists this unclassified non-coding RNA (375 nucleotides) under uncultured Actinomycetes bacterium. RNAcentral describes it as "uncultured actinobacterium contains 16S-23S intergenic spacer region". Lineage: Bacteria; Bacillati; Actinomycetota; Actinomycetes. The record is from RNAcentral.